RNAcentral lists this long non-coding RNA (876 nucleotides) under Mustela putorius furo (domestic ferret). Its description in RNAcentral is "lncRNA (ENSMPUG00000030348.1)". The record is from RNAcentral. Lineage: Eukaryota; Metazoa; Chordata; Mammalia; Carnivora; Mustelidae.
GGAAAAGACAGGAUAUAUUUGGGGCGAUAUAUCUUCCCUGCUGUGCUGGGGCAUACAGCACAUAUAGAAGAGAAGUGGAAGAUCAGGCAGGAGGGUAGGGGAGUGCCAGGUGACUUCGAGUCUUGUGAGCCAGAUUAAGGUGUGUAGAAUAAUGUCCUCUCCAGGAGAAAGACCUUGAAUAGUUUUCAAAGUGUGCUUGGUUUUCUCUGUCGCUGCUCUGAGGUAGGGAACUGGAAGUCCCAAAGCAAAGGCUGAGCUGUUUAAGCUCACCAACUCAGUUGAUUUGGAGAAAGCUGCUCAAAGCUUAAGCUGGGCUAUCUCUUGCCAUCUGCGUUUCUGCUCCAGGGCUCUGACUGCUUACGGUUAUCUGUUGAAAACAUAAGAAACGCAUAGAAGCCCGGGCGAUCCACAACCAGGAAGAAGAACACGAUGUACCCGGGUGUUGGGAGGAGAUUAUUUGUUAUAAAAAGAAGGAAGGCAGAGAGAAUAUGGGGACACCUAAUGUGCUGUGUUAUCGGCCCCUGCCUCACCUCUCCUACGUGGGCACCCUUGCUAUCCUAUAGCCACAGUGAGGAAGUCUUGCGUCAGCCUCAAAGCUCCUCCAGCUCCAGAAGAGACAGGAAUGACCCUGGCUGGCUCAUUACACAUGUGUCCAGGAGGCUGGGUUCUAGAAGAUCCUGGUUCUGACCCUGAAAGACUCCAUUUGGACCCAUGUGCAAGCCUUGAGUCUUGGUAUUGUUCCACUGCUGUUUCCUCUUAGGAUUAAAGAAAAUGCUCCAGUUAAUCACAGGAAAUGUCAAUUUUUUAUGUGUUAAUUUGCUCCUAGAAGCUUUCUACAGUCAACAUGGCACAGUCAUUUCUUUAGGUCCAUGUUUC